AGCCCAUGGUGGGGACAACUUCUUUGAAAAUCUUUAAAUCUCUCCCAAGAUUCAUAUAAUGACUCACCUUCAUAUUGGCUAAAACCUAUAAUAUCCAUAUGAAAUU
Coffea eugenioides is the source of this 106-nucleotide small nucleolar RNA. Lineage: Eukaryota; Viridiplantae; Streptophyta; Magnoliopsida; Gentianales; Rubiaceae. The record is from RefSeq and is a predicted model, not a curated record.